GCCUCGGUAGCUCAGUUGGUAGAGCAAUGGACUGAAAAUCCAUGUGUCGGCGGUGCGAGCCCGCCCUGAGGCACCA
Molecule: transfer RNA, 76 nt
Filed under: Chloroflexota bacterium
Lineage: Bacteria; Bacillati; Chloroflexota
Description: tRNA-Phe
Rfam family: tRNA
About the family: Transfer RNA (tRNA) molecules are approximately 80 nucleotides in length. Their secondary structure includes four short double-helical elements and three loops (D, anti-codon, and T loops). Further hydrogen bonds mediate the characteristic L-shaped molecular structure. tRNAs have two regions of fundamental functional importance: the anti-codon, which is responsible for specific mRNA codon recognition, and the 3' end, to which the tRNAs corresponding amino acid is attached (by aminoacyl-tRNA synthetases). tRNAs cope with the degeneracy of the genetic code in two manners: having more than one tRNA (with a specific anti-codon) for a particular amino acid; and 'wobble' base-pairing, i.e. permitting non-standard base-pairing at the 3rd anti-codon position.
Source: RNAcentral